Exaiptasia diaphana is the source of this 2132-nucleotide RNA transcript. It is a transcript of the gene named alpha-2-macroglobulin receptor-associated protein, with no coding region annotated. Lineage: Eukaryota; Metazoa; Cnidaria; Anthozoa; Actiniaria; Aiptasiidae. The transcript has 5 exons. The record is from RefSeq and is a predicted model, not a curated record.
UUUUGAAUGAUUUGCAGUUUUCCACUAAAAAACAGAAUUCUUUUUCAAUAUAAACCAUGGAUUCUGCUUUCAAGAUCUCGCUUUUGCUAUUAGCUUUGUUGAUAGCACAUUCGCUAUCAACAAACGAAGAAGACAGACCUUUUUGUGCGAACAAGUUGAACAUGAUAUGGCAAAAGCUCCAAAACAAGAUGUCUGCCAACAAACUACAAGACUUGAAGCGAGCAUUAAGUGAUCAAGACCGAAAAGAGAUGAACUGGAAAGAACUGAAACUUCAUGGAGGGGACGCAGAUGGAGAAAUUGAAGCAGGUUUAAGACGUACUUUGUUUAAAAUACUUGAAGWWUACGGACAUGGGAAGUUGGUUGGCAAAGUUCCUGAACCUACUGACCCUCGAGUUGAGGACAACACAGUGAGGGGUGAAGACGAUUUUAGUGAUGCUAGACUAAAGCAUUUAUGGAAAUUGGCUAAYAGACAUGGCAAAUUUGAUGAAGAAGAAAUGGCUGAACUAAGAACAGAGUUUGAACACCACAAAGAAAGGAUAAAUGAAUACAAUCUGUUAUUYAAUACUCUACAAGAACAACAUGAAAUUUCUGAUAACUCAAUAAAAAGUCARGACAGAUUAAAGGAACAUGAAGUUGACCAACUAAAAAAUYAACUCAAAGAUAAAUAUGUAGCAAUGAAAAAACACUACYUAAAGCUUAAGGAAAGAGUUACUGGAGAAGUUGUUCAYUCWCCUUUCAGAGACUACAGAGUAAUUGAGCUUUGGGAAAAAGCCAAAGCAAAUAAUUUCACAGAGGACGAGUUAGAAUCUAUCAAGGAAGAGUUGAGGCACUUUGAAAACAAAAUAGGCAAGCAUGAGCAUUUCAAGAAUGRMGCKAAGAAAUCKGAAAAGAAACUSAGUGAAGGCAUCGAUAUUGAUCACGAAGCUUAUAAAUCAUAUGCCAAGAAAGCAAAAGAACACUUCAAAUAUGUGAAGAAAAUGCAUCACACWCUUCUGGAAAAAGUCUCAAGAAGACAAGAAUUAUGAGCUCUUUUUGUCACUUUUGCACAAUGAAAGAUAAAUGUCUSUAUCUUAUACUUGGUAUGCUCCUAUUGCAAGUGCAAUACAGGGGUCAGCUAGGUAUCAAGAUACUCUAGACAGGUAAGCCAAUAGAAAAUGAGAAAGUUUGCAUUGUUUUAUUACAUCAUUAAGUAUGGKUUGCUGUUUGAUUAAUAUUAUCAGUGAAAUAAAGAAAACUGGYAUGUUGGGAGAACAUGAACACAGGCCUAAAAAUUCAUGAGCGCAGCUAUCGGUUUUUGCGUUUUUUGAUGUAGACAUUCUAUAAAUGAAUAACUAGAUAUAUGUCAUACCUGAUGCCAAAUAGCCAGGUCUUUAGCUUUGUCUUUUUCCUCUGGUAGUACAUCCAUUACCAAAGCAAAAUCCACUGCACAGUAUGCCCCAAAACCAAUACCUAAACACAAUGAUAGAAUAUAUUACAAUGAAGACAACACUGUUUAUACUACACAUGACGAUAUUGUUAUGCUAAGGAAUUAAUUGAAAAAAACUGCAUAACAUGUAGUAAAUCAAAUGCUAAUGCAAAGGAACCACAUUAAUCCACCCAAAAAAGGGAUAAUGAAAAGUGGCCAUGUUAAUGGGGUGGCCAUAUUUACUGGAUAGAAAUAAUAUUAUAAGUUAAGGACUUAGUGAAAUUGAUGCAGUAAGAUUUGAUAAUGUGCAAUGUAUUUACCAAAGGUUAAAGCCACUGGAAUUGCUGCAUAAAAUGCAUAACGUCCUUGUAGAAAMGCUAGUAUUACUGCACAAAUACUCAUCAAUGCAGCUGAAAUUGUACAACAAAACAUUCAUAAUCAUUACRUAUAAAGUACUUUCAAUGCUUACAAAUGAUGCAGUGUACAAAACAUAAAUGCAAUGUAUCAGUCAGAAAUAUCUACAUUGUUAAAUCAUGUAUGUAGUGAACUUUGGAAGCAUUUGUUAAGUAAAGUUCAACUAACUAGUAUACAUAGUUUGCAAAAAUGGAUUUGCAAUAUAUAGUGACAUCCAUUUGAAAAGUGUACUAUUAAAACCUKCAACACUAGUGGCCCUUAAGUUAUGGAAAAGCUUAAAAUGAAUGAUUAAAACACAUACAUGAACCAAUGA